This is a long non-coding RNA of Oncorhynchus keta (chum salmon), 1117 nucleotides long. RefSeq lists it as uncharacterized. Lineage: Eukaryota; Metazoa; Chordata; Actinopteri; Salmoniformes; Salmonidae. The record is from RefSeq and is a predicted model, not a curated record. The transcript is spliced from 3 exons.
AACAGAACAGUCAAAUGACACAAACAUGAUGUACACAUUCAGAUAGUUGUGUACAGUGACAUGGGUCUAAAUGGAAAGUUUAAAAACAUACAGUAUUAUUUCCAAUGCUGCCAAUAAUAUGUAAAUAAUUAAGAAAUAAUGUAAAUAAUGAUGAACACAUGUCAUGACUAAGGGCCUGUUUUUCAUGGUCAGGUUAUGUGGUAUAAUACUAUGAGGUUGAGGUUUUUCAUGGUCAGGUUAUGUGGUAUAAUACUAUGAGGUUGAGGUUUUUCAUGGUCAGGUUAUGUGGUAUAAUACUAUGAGGUUGAGGUUUUUCAUGGUCAGGUUAUGUGGUAUAAUACUAUGAGGUUGAGGUUUUUCAUGGUCAGGUUAUGUGGUAUAAUACUAUGAGGUUGAGGUUUUUCAUGGUCAGGUUAUGUGGUAUAAUACUAUGAGGUUGAGGUUUUUCAUGGUCAGGUUAUGUGGUAUAAUACUAUGAGGUUGAGGUUUUUCAUGGUCAGGUUAUGUGGUAUAAUACUAUGAGGUUGAGGUUUUUCAUGGUCAGGUUAUGUGGUAUAAUACUAUGAGGUUGAGGUUUUUCAUGGUCAGGUUAUGUGGUAUAAUACUAUGAGGUUGAGGUUUUUCAUGGUCAGGUUAUGUGGUAUAAUACUAUGAGGUUGAGGUUUUUCAUGGUCAGGUUAUGUGGUAUAAUACUAUGAGGUUGAGGUUUUUCAUGGUCAGGUUAUGUGGUAUAAUACUAUGAGGUUGAGGUUUUUCAUGGUCAGGUUAUGUGGUAUAAUACUAUGAGGUUGAGGUUUUUCAUGGUCAGGUUAUGUGGUAUAAUACUAUGAGGUUGAGGUUUUUCAUGGUCAGGUUAUGUGGUAUAAUACUAUGAGGUUGAGGUUUUUCAUGGUCAGGUUAUGUGGUAUAAUACUAUGAGGUUGAGGUUUUUCAUGGUCAGGUUAUGUGGUAUAAUACUAUGAGGUUGAGGUUUUUCAUGGUCAGGUUAUGUGGUAUAAUACUAUGAGGUUGAGGUUUUUCAUGGUCAGGUUAUGUGGUAUAAUACUAUGAGGUUGAGGUUGUUAUGGUCAGGAAAAAGUGGUGACAUAGUGACUGUGUAGAGGCAGACAUGGUAAUC